This 492-nucleotide ribosomal RNA is filed under the name uncultured bacterium. Its description in RNAcentral is "partial 16S ribosomal RNA". It matches the Rfam family "Bacterial small subunit ribosomal RNA", at positions 29 to 507 of the family's 1533-position model. The record is from RNAcentral.
AGUGAACGCUGGCGGUAGGCCUAACACAUGCAAGUCGAACGGCAGCACAGUAAGAGCUUGCUCUUACGGGUGGCGAGUGGCGGACGGGUGAGGAAUACAUCGGAAUCUACUUUUUUGUGGGGGAUAACGUAGGGAAACUUACGCUAAUACCGCAUACGACCUACGGGUGAAAGCAGGGGAUCUUCGGACCUUGCGCGAUUGAAUGAGCCGAUGUCGGAUUAGCUAGUUGGCGGGGUAAAGGCCCACCAAGGCGACGAUCCGUAGCUGGUCUGAGAGGAUGAUCAGCCACACUGGAACUGAGACACGGUCCAGACUCCUACGGGAGGCAGCAGUGGGGAAUAUUGGACAAGGGGCGCAAGCCUGAUCCAGCCAUACCGCAUGGGUGAAGAAGGCCUUCGGGUUGUAAAGCCCUUUUGUUGGGAAAGAAAAGCAGCAGGUUAAUACCCCGCUGUUCUGACGGUACCCAAAGAAUAAGCACCGGCUAACUUCGUG